UAUGAACCACAUCACAGGAAUAAUGUCCGAGUAUAUAUUUGGAGGUUAUCAAGCGAAUAUUUAGCAUGCACACAAUAAACAGACAGUAUAUAUAUGUAUAUUUAUAGAUACAUAUAUAUGUAUGUAUGUGUGUGUGUGCGUAUAGGUCCAAUAUACAAGCGUUUUCUUUGAUGUUCUCAGAACCGGCUUUAUGAAUCGAUUCCAAGUCUAAUCGACGCUAGAACUCAACAAUUGUUAACACAUGUCGAUUACUGCAAGAACCAUCUCGAUUUGUUAAUUUGUUCAAGAGAUCGUUGGAGAAAGAAAUGGUCAAAGACUCAAAAGAACGCGUCAAUUUCUGCAAGAACUAUCUCAAUUGGUUCAUCCGUUCAAGAGGUAUCGUAGGAGAAAGAGAUGUUAAGCGUUUUGCUAUUGAGAACGACAAUCUUGCACACCAAGGGAUAAAAGUGGGACAUUACUACCCGUGUGUAAUUGUCUAUCCGAGCGAAAAGUAAAUACGUGGAUUGGGAUGUCCUAUCUUCGUGGUGUGUAUACAUACUUUUUUUUUUACCAGAUCGACAACUGCAAGUUUGAAUUUCUGCCAUUAUUUGCAGAAAGAUUAUCAGAAGUGAAAAUUUAUUUCAUCUGUCUUUUCAUAAGAAAAAAGUGCAACUUCCUUUUCUUUAAGCAGGA
This is a long non-coding RNA of Microplitis mediator, 672 nucleotides long. RefSeq lists it as uncharacterized. NCBI's taxonomy places the organism in Eukaryota, Metazoa, Arthropoda, Insecta, Hymenoptera, Braconidae. The record is from RefSeq and is a predicted model, not a curated record. The transcript is spliced from 4 exons.